RNAcentral lists this ribosomal RNA (440 nucleotides) under Lactococcus lactis subsp. lactis. Its description in RNAcentral is "bacterial SSU rRNA". It matches the Rfam family "Bacterial small subunit ribosomal RNA", at positions 56 to 478 of the family's 1533-position model. The record is from RNAcentral. Lineage: Bacteria; Bacillati; Bacillota; Bacilli; Lactobacillales; Streptococcaceae.
UGCAAGUUGAGCGCUGAAGGUUGGUACUUGUACCGACUGGAUGAGCAGCGAACGGGUGAGUAACGCGUGGGGAAUCUGCCUUUGAGCGGGGGACAACAUUUGGAAACGAAUGCUAAUACCGCAUAAAAACUUUAAACACAAGUUUUAAGUUUGAAAGAUGCAAUUGCAUCACUCAAAGAUGAUCCCGCGUUGUAUUAGCUAGUUGGUGAGGUAAAGGCUCACCAAGGCGAUGAUACAUAGCCGACCUGAGAGGGUGAUCGGCCACAUUGGGACUGAGACACGGCCCAAACUCCUACGGGAGGCAGCAGUAGGGAAUCUUCGGCAAUGGACGAAAGUCUGACCGAGCAACGCCGCGUGAGUGAAGAAGGUUUUCGGAUCGUAAAACUCUGUUGGUAGAGAAGAACGUUGGUGAGAGUGGAAAGCUCAUCAAGUGACGGUAA